GUCCUUCUUGAUCACUUCACUACCAUUAUCUUGAGUUCAGUUUUACUGUUUCAUUUGUUUGAGCUGAGAGUUUAUACAUUAGCGUAUUGGUGUUGUUGAUUCAUGGUGGUGAUCUGUGUUAUUGGUGAUCUUCGGUGGUGGUGCUACAUUGAAAGUAGAGGAAGAUAAAGUGCGACAGGAAGAAGAUAGAGCGCGACAUGUUAGUCCGAGAACACACUUAACCGCAUUUGGAGCAGCGGUUAAGGAUGUCGCCCUUCGAAAGACGUUUUCACACAGUCGCACAUCGAGUUGCGAUUGCCCCCAACCGCACUUCGAGUUGUGGUUUUGAGGGUUCGCACUUCCAAGUGCGUUUGUGUUGUGAUCC
This 364-nucleotide long non-coding RNA is filed under the name Vigna radiata. RNAcentral describes it as "long non-coding RNA (VRAD_LNC007717)". The record is from RNAcentral. Lineage: Eukaryota; Viridiplantae; Streptophyta; Magnoliopsida; Fabales; Fabaceae.